Molecule: ribosomal RNA, 474 nt
Filed under: uncultured bacterium
Lineage: Bacteria
Description: SSU rRNA
Rfam family: Bacterial small subunit ribosomal RNA
Source: RNAcentral
AGGACGAACGCUGGCGGCGUGCUUAACACAUGCAAGUCGAGCGGAAAGGCCCUUCGGGGUACUCGAGCGGCGAACGGGUGAGUAACACGUGAGUAAUCUGCCCUUAGCUCUGGGAUAGCUCCGGGAAACCGGGAUUAAUACCAGAUAUGACCACACUAGACAUCUGGUGUGGUGGAAAGGAUUCCGGCUAGGGAUGAGCUCGCGGCCUAUCAGCUUGUUGGUGGGGUAACGGCCUACCAAGGCGACGACGGGUAGCCGGCCUGAGAGGGCGACCGGCCACACUGGGACUGAGACACGGCCCAGACUCCUACGGGAGGCAGCAGUGGGGAAUAUUGCGCAAUGGGCGAAAGCCUGACGCAGCGACGCCGCGUGGGGGAUGAAGGCCUUCGGGUUGUAAACCCCUUUCAGCAGGGACGAAGCGAAAGUGACGGUACCUGCAGAAGAAGCGCCGGCUAACUACGUGCCAGCAGCCGC